This 83-nucleotide non-coding RNA is filed under the name uncultured Eubacterium sp. RNAcentral's name for it is "Glycine riboswitch". It matches the Rfam family "Glycine riboswitch aptamer", at positions 8 to 87 of the family's 94-position model. Rfam says of the family: This family represents the bacterial glycine riboswitch. Glycine riboswitches usually consist of two metabolite-binding aptamers domains with similar structures in tandem. The aptamers cooperatively bind glycine to regulate the expression of downstream genes. The record is from RNAcentral. Lineage: Bacteria; Bacillati; Bacillota; Clostridia; Eubacteriales; Eubacteriaceae.
UUUUCCGGGAGAUCGCCGCUGCGGGCGGCAGCCGAAGGGGCAAGCAGCACAUGCUGUGAAACUUUCAGGUAAAAGGACUGGAA